This 531-nucleotide ribosomal RNA is filed under the name Amolops aniqiaoensis (Aniqiao torrent frog). RNAcentral describes it as "partial large subunit ribosomal RNA". It matches the Rfam family "Bacterial large subunit ribosomal RNA", at positions 1816 to 2571 of the family's 2925-position model. The record is from RNAcentral. Lineage: Eukaryota; Metazoa; Chordata; Amphibia; Anura; Ranidae.
CAUCGCCUCUUGAUUAAAUAUAAGAGGUUCAGCCUGCCCAGUGACAUAGUUUAACGGCCGCGGUACCCUAACCGUGCGAAGGUAGCAUAAUCACUUGUUCCUUAAAUAGGGACUCGUAUCAACGGCAUCACGAGGGCUGUACUGUCUCCUUUCUCCAAUCAGUGAAACUGAUCUCCCCGUGAAGAAGCGGGGAUAAGCCUAUAAGACGAGAAGACCCCAUGGAGCUUUAAACCCAUCACGCACCUCUACGCACUAAAAACAAUAAAGCCUAAGAGGCUUGUGUGCUGGUUUUAGGUUGGGGUGACCAAGGAGUAAAAUCAAACCUCCACGACAGACGGACUAAUAUCCUUAUCCACGAACCACAAUUCUAAGAGCCAAUAAAUUGUUGUCUAAUGACCCAAUUACUUGAUCAACGAACCAAGUUACCCUGGGGAUAACAGCGCAAUCUACUUCAAGAGCCCCUAUCGACAAGUAGGUUUACGACCUCGAUGUUGGAUCAGGGUGUCCUAGUGGUGCAACCGCUGCUAAAGG